Molecule: ribosomal RNA, 433 nt
Filed under: uncultured bacterium
Lineage: Bacteria
Description: partial 16S ribosomal RNA
Rfam family: Bacterial small subunit ribosomal RNA
Source: RNAcentral
AACGAACGCUGGCGGCAUGCCUAACACAUGCAAGUCGAACGAUCCCUUCGGGGAUAGUGGCGCAGGGGUGCGUAACGCGUGGAAACCUGCCUUUAGGUUCGGAAUAACCCAGAGAAUUUUGCGCUAAUACCGGAUAAUGUCAUGGGACCAAAGAUUUAUCGCCAUUGGAUGGGCCCGCGUUGGAUUAGAUAGUUGGUGGGGUAAAGGCCUACCAAGGCGACGAUCCGUAGCUGGUAUGAGAGGAUGAUCAGCCACACUGGGACUGAGACACGGCCCAGACUCCUACGGGAGGCAGCAGUGGGGAAUAUUGGACAAUGGGCGAAAGCCUGAUCCAGCAAUGCCGCGUGAGUGAUGAAGGCCUUAGGGUUGUAAAGCUCUUUUACCCGGGAAGAUAAUGACAGUACCGGGAGAAUAAGCCCCGGCUAACUCCGUG